This 401-nucleotide ribosomal RNA is filed under the name Lactiplantibacillus plantarum. RNAcentral describes it as "bacterial LSU rRNA". It matches the Rfam family "Bacterial large subunit ribosomal RNA", at positions 1988 to 2388 of the family's 2925-position model. Lineage: Bacteria; Bacillati; Bacillota; Bacilli; Lactobacillales; Lactobacillaceae. The record is from RNAcentral.
CCGCACGAAAGGCGUAACGAUCUGGGCACUGUCUCAACGAGAGACUCGGUGAAAUUAUAUUGUCCGUGAAGAUGCGGACUACCCGCGACAGGACGGAAAGACCCCAUGGAGCUUUACUGUAGCUUGAUAUUGAGUGUUUGUACAGCUUGUACAGGAUAGGUAGGAGCCAUAGAAACCGGAACGCUAGUUUCGGUGGAGGCGUUGGUGGGAUACUACCCUCGCUGUAUGACCACUCUAACCCGCACCACUAAUCGUGGUGGGAGACAGUGUCAGGUGGGCAGUUUGACUGGGGCGGUCGCCUCCUAAAAAGUAACGGAGGCGCCCAAAGGUUCCCUCAGAAUGGUUGGAAAUCAUUCGCAGAGUGUAAAGGCACAAGGGAGCUUGACUGCGAGACAGACAGG